This 349-nucleotide ribosomal RNA is filed under the name uncultured Pseudomonadota bacterium. Its description in RNAcentral is "bacterial SSU rRNA". It matches the Rfam family "Bacterial small subunit ribosomal RNA", at positions 29 to 374 of the family's 1533-position model. Lineage: Bacteria; Pseudomonadati; Pseudomonadota. The record is from RNAcentral.
AUUGAACGCUGGCGGCGUGCUUAACACAUGCAAGUCGAUCGGUAACAGGUGUAGCAAUACAUGCUGACGAGAGGCGGACGGGUGAGGAACGCUUGGGAAUCUGCCCAUCAGCGGGGGACAACCCGGGGAAACCCGGGCUAAUACCGCAUACGCUCUAUGGAGGAAAGCCGGGGACCGCAAGGCCUGGCACUGAUGGAUGAGCCCAAGUCGGAUUAGCUAGUUGGCGGGGUAACGGCCCACCAAGGCGACGAUCCGUAGCUGGUCUGAGAGGACGAUCAGCCACACUGGAACUGAGACACGGUCCAGACUCCUACGGGAGGCAGCCGAGACAAGGCACACAGGGGAUAGG